Molecule: ribosomal RNA, 515 nt
Filed under: uncultured bacterium
Lineage: Bacteria
Description: partial 16S ribosomal RNA
Rfam family: Bacterial small subunit ribosomal RNA
Source: RNAcentral
GAUGAACGCUGGCGGCGUGCCUAAUACAUGCAAGUCGAGCGAAUGGAUUAAGAGCUUGCUCUUAUGAAGUUAGCGGCGGACGGGUGAGUAACACGUGGGUAACCUGCCCAUAAGACUGGGAUAACUCCGGGAAACCGGGGCUAAUACCGGAUAACAUUUUGAACCGCAUGGUUCGAAAUUGAAAGGCGGCUUCGGCUGUCACUGAUGGAUGGACCCGCGUCGCAUUAGCUAGUUGGUGAGGUAACGGCGCACCAAGGCAACGAUGCGUAGCCGGCCUGAGAGGGUGAUCGGCCACACUGGGACUGAGACACGGCCCAGACUCCUACGGGAGGCAGCAGUAGGGAAUCUUCCGCAAUGGACGAAAGUCUGACGGAGCAACGCCGCGUGAGUGAUGAAGGCUUUCGGGUCGUAAAACUCUGUUGUUAGGGAAGAACAAGUGCUAGUUGAAUAAGCUGACACCUUGACGGUACCUAACCAGAAAGCCACGGCUAACUACGUGCCAGCAGCCGCCGUAA